This 352-nucleotide long non-coding RNA is filed under the name Elaeis guineensis (African oil palm). Its description in RNAcentral is "long non-coding RNA (EGUI_LNC060013)". Lineage: Eukaryota; Viridiplantae; Streptophyta; Magnoliopsida; Arecales; Arecaceae. The record is from RNAcentral.
CGGCCACAGUCAAAGGUAUUAUUCCCUCCGUCGGAACAGCAUCGCCGGUAAACCCUACCAGAGGGGAGCUAAUCGGCCUCAAAUGACUGUCAAGGAUGGACAUUCUUGAAAAAGCAUCAUAGAACAAAAUAUUGGCCGAGCUUUCAUUGUCGACAAGAAUGCGGCGGACGUCGUAAUUUGCUAUAUUCAAGGAAACUACAACCGCAUCGUUAUGGGGGAAUUGAACCCCCUGAGCGUCUUCUUCAGUAAAGGUUAUGGGCUCCUCAAUCUUUUAUCGUUUGGGGGGUACGGCCAGUACGUUGGUUGCUUCCUGUCGGGAUCCUCCCGAGAUGGUGUUGGUGAAAUCCGUCGG